UCCGGUUUGUCACCGGCAGUCUGGCGUGAGUCCCCAACUUAAUGCUGGCAACACGCCACGGGGGUUGCGCUCGUUGCGGGACUUAACCCAACAUCUCACGACACGAGCUGACGACAGCCAUGCAGCAUCUGUGGUGCACCCUCGAAGGUCACACGUUUCCGUGCGCUUGCAGCACCAUGUCAAGCCCAGGUAAGGUGGGGAUGACGUUCCAGUAUCGGAA
Molecule: unclassified non-coding RNA, 220 nt
Filed under: uncultured Rubrobacterales bacterium
Lineage: Bacteria; Bacillati; Actinomycetota; Rubrobacteria; Rubrobacterales
Description: contains 16S-23S intergenic spacer region
Source: RNAcentral